UACGUAGGGCGCAAGCGUUGUCCGGAAUUAUUGGGCGUAAAGAGCUCGUAGGCGGUUUGUUGCGUCGGCUGUGAAAACCUGCGGCUUAACUGUGGGCUUGCAGUCGAUACGGGCAGACUUGAGUUCGGCAGGGGAGACUGGAAUUCCUGGUGUAGCGGUGAAAUGCGCAGAUAUCAGGAGGAACACCGGUGGCGAAGGCGGGUCUCUGGGCCGAUACUGACGCUGAGGAGCGAAAGCGUGGGGAGCGAACAGG
RNAcentral lists this ribosomal RNA (253 nucleotides) under uncultured bacterium. RNAcentral describes it as "partial 16S ribosomal RNA". It matches the Rfam family "Bacterial small subunit ribosomal RNA", at positions 524 to 776 of the family's 1533-position model. The record is from RNAcentral.